GGGGAAUAUUGGGCAAUGGGCGAAAGCCUGACCCAGCAACGCCGCGUGAAGGAAGAAGGCCCUCGGGUUGUAAACUUCUUUUAUUCGGGACGAAACAAAUGACGGUACCGAAUGAAUAAGCCACGGCUAACUACGUGCCAGCAGCCGCGGUAAUACGUAGGUGGCGAGCGUUAUCCGGAUUUACUGGGUGUAAAGGGCGUGUAGGCGGGACUGCAAGUCAGAUGUGAAAAUUAUGGGCUCAACCCAUAACCUGCAUUUGAAACUGUAGUUCUUGAGUGAUGGAGAGGCAGGCGGAAUUCCGUGUGUAGCGGUGAAAUGCGUAGAUAUACGGAGGAACACCAGUGGCGAAGGCGGCCUGCUGGACAUUAACUGACGCUGAGGCGCGAAAGCGUGGGGAGCAAACA
RNAcentral lists this ribosomal RNA (404 nucleotides) under uncultured Clostridium sp. RNAcentral's name for it is "bacterial SSU rRNA". It matches the Rfam family "Bacterial small subunit ribosomal RNA", at positions 356 to 774 of the family's 1533-position model. The record is from RNAcentral. Lineage: Bacteria; Bacillati; Bacillota; Clostridia; Eubacteriales; Clostridiaceae.